GAUCAAAUUAUGAAGCUGCAGGCCCAAUUAUUGGAACAAUACAAAAUAUUAGAUAACAGCAAAGCUAAGGAUGCUCAAAUUUUGAGUCUACAAGCUCAGCUAGGGGAAAAGAACAAAUUGGAACGGAACAGUUUCCAAACAGUGAAGGAGGUUUUUCCAAACUCAUCCCUAACUGAACAUGAGGAUGAAUUGGCAUUAACCAAAUAAUGCUGCACAAAAAGAAUGGUUAGUUAUAAGCCCAUGCAGUGAAGGAAGUGAACAAUUGUGGGACCGUAUUUGGGCC
Molecule: long non-coding RNA, 283 nt
Organism: Daphnia carinata
Lineage: Eukaryota; Metazoa; Arthropoda; Branchiopoda; Diplostraca; Daphniidae
Exons: 3
Source: RefSeq, a predicted model, not a curated record